GCCUCGAUAGCUCAGUUGGUUAGAGCGUGGUGCUGAUAUUGCCAAGGUUACAGGUUUGAUCCCCGUAUGGGACA
This is a non-coding RNA of Podarcis lilfordi (Lilford's wall lizard), 74 nucleotides long. The record is from the annotation of a GenBank genome assembly. Lineage: Eukaryota; Metazoa; Chordata; Lepidosauria; Squamata; Lacertidae.